RNAcentral lists this ribosomal RNA (744 nucleotides) under uncultured bacterium. RNAcentral's name for it is "bacterial SSU rRNA". It matches the Rfam family "Bacterial small subunit ribosomal RNA", at positions 8 to 796 of the family's 1533-position model. The record is from RNAcentral.
AGAGUUUGAUCAUGGCUCAGAGCGAACGCUGGCGGCAGGCUUAACACAUGCAAGUCGAGCGGGCGUAGCAAUACGUCAGCGGCAGACGGGUGAGUAACGCGUGGGAACGUACCUUUUGGUUCGGAACAACACAGGGAAACUUGUGCUAAUACCGAAUAAGCCCUUACGGGGAAAGAUUUAUCGCCGAAAGAUCGGCCCGCGUCUGAUUAGCUAGUUGGUGGGGUAACGGCCCACCAAGGCGACGAUCAGUAGCUGGUCUGAGAGGAUGAUCAGCCACAUUGGGACUGAGACACGGCCCAAACUCCUACGGGAGGCAGCAGUGGGGAAUAUUGGACAAUGGGCGCAAGCCUGAUCCAGCCAUGCCGCGUGAGUGAUGAAGGCCCUAGGGUUGUAAAGCUCUUUUGUGCGGGAAGAUAAUGACGGUACCGCAAGAAUAAGCCCCGGCUAACUUCGUGCCAGCAGCCGCGGUAAUACGAAGGGGGCUAGCGUUGCUCGGAAUCACUGGGCGUAAAGGGUGCGUAGGCGGGUCUUUAAGUCAGGGGUGAAAUCCUGGAGCUCAACUCCAGAACUGCCUUUGAUACUGAGGAUCUUGAGUUCGGGAGAGGUGAGUGGAACUGCGAGUGUAGAGGUGAAAUUCGUAGAUAUUCGCAAGAACACCAGUGGCGAAGGCGGCUCACUGGCCCGAUACUGACGCUGAGGCACGAAAGCGUGGGGAGCAAACAGGAUUAGAUACCCUAGUAGUCC